Molecule: small nuclear RNA, 122 nt
Organism: Jaculus jaculus (lesser Egyptian jerboa)
Lineage: Eukaryota; Metazoa; Chordata; Mammalia; Rodentia; Dipodidae
Source: Ensembl
GUUUUCUAUAUGGUAAGGCAGGAGACACAGCACAUAUAAUAAAACUGGAAAGAUCCAGGAAAGGUUAGAAUGGCUCCUGUGCAAGAAUGACAGACAAAAUUUGUAAAAUAUAUUGCGUAUCU